CGGAGAAAUUCCAAUCGAACCUGGAGAUAGCUGGUUCUCUCCGAAAUAGCUUUAGGGCUAGCCUCAAGUGAUGAUUAUUGGAGGUAGAGCACUGUUUGGACGAGGGGCCCCUCUCGGGUUACCGAAUUCAGACAAACUCCGAAUGCCAAUUAAUUUAACUUGGGAGUCAGAACAUGGGUGAUAAGGUCCGUGUUCGAAAGGGAAACAGCCCAGACCACCAGCUAAGGUCCCAAAAUAUAUGUUAAGUGGAAAAGGAUGUGGCGUUGCCCAGACAACUAGGAUGUUGGCUUAGAAGCAGCCAUCAUUUAAAGAGUGCGUAAUAGCUCACUAGUCGAGUGACACUGCGCCGAAAAUGUACCGGGGCUAAACAUAUUACCGAAGCUGUGGAUUGUCCUUUGGACAAUGGUAGGAGAGCGUUCUAAGGGCGUUGAAGCAUGAUCGUAAGGACAUGUGGAGCGCUUAGAAGUGAGAAUGCCGGUGUGAGUAGCGAAAGACGGGUGAGAAUCCCGUCCACCGAUUGACUAAGGUUUCCAGAGGAAGGCUCGUCCGCUCUGGGUUAGUCGGGUCCUAAGCUGAGGCCGACAGGCGUAGGCGAUGGAUAACAGGUUGAUAUUCCUGUACCACCUAUAAUCGUUUUAAUCGAUGGGGGGACGCAGUAGAAUAGGCGAAGCGUGCGAUUGGAUUGCACGUCUAAGCAGUAAGGCUGAGUAUUAGGCAAAUCCGGUACUCGUUAAGGCUGAGCUGUGAUGGGGAGAAGACAUUGUGUCUUCGAGUCGUUGAUUUCACACUGCCGAGAAAAGCCUCUAGAUAGAAAAUAGGUGCCCGUACCGCAAACCGACACAGGUAGUCAAGAUGAGAAUUCUAAGGUGAGCGAGCGAACUCUCGUUAAGGAACUCGGCAAAAUGACCCCGUAACUUCGGGAGAAGGGGUGCUCUUUAGGGUUAACGCCCAGAAGAGCCGCAGUGAAUAGGCCCAAGCGACUGUUUAUCAAAAACACAGGUCUCUGCUAAACCGUAAGGUGAUGUAUAGGGGCUGACGCCUGCCCGGUGCUGGAAGGUUAAGAGGAGUGGUUAGCUUCUGCGAAGCUACGAAUCGAAGCCCCAGUAAACGGCGGCCGUAACUAUAACGGUCCUAAGGUAGCGAAAUUCCUUGUCGGGUAAGUUCCGACCCGCACGAAAGGCGUAACGAUUUGGGCACUGUCUCAACGAGAGACUCGGUGAAAUCAUAGUACCUGUGAAGAUGCAGGUUACCCGCGACAGGACGGAAAGACCCCGUGGAGCUUUACUGUAGCCUGAUAUUGAAAUUCGGCACAGCUUGUACAGGAUAGGUAGGAGCCUUUGAAACGUGAGCGCUAGCUUACGUGGAGGCGCUGGUGGGAUACUACCCUAGCUGUGUUGGCUUUCUAACCCGCACCACUUAUCGUGGUGGGAGACAGUGUCAGGCGGGCAGUUUGACUGGGGCGGUCGCCUCCUAAAAGGUAACGGAGGCGCUCAAAGGUUCCCUCAGAAUGGUUGGAAAUCAUUCAUAGAGUGUAAAGGCAUAAGGGAGCUUGACUGCGAGACCUACAAGUCGAGCAGGGUCGAAAGACGGACUUAGUGAUCCGGUGGUUCCGCAUGGAAGGGCCAUCGCUCAACGGAUAAAAGCUACCCCGGGGAUAACAGGCUUAUCUCCCCCAAGAGUUCACAUCGACGGGGAGGUUUGGCACCUCGAUGUCGGCUCAUCGCAUCCUGGGGCUGUAGUCGGUCCCAAGGGUUGGGCUGUUCGCCCAUUAAAGCGGUACGCGAGCUGGGUUCAGAACGUCGUGAGACAGUUCGGUCCCUAUCCGUCGUGGGCGUAGGAAAUUUGAGAGGAGCUGUCCUUAGUACGAGAGGACCGGGAUGGACAUACCUCUGGUGUACCAGUUGUCGUGCCAACGGCAUAGCUGGGUAGCUAUGUGUGGACGGGAUAAGUGCUGAAAGCAUCUAAGCAUGAAGCCCCCCUCAAGAUGAGAUUUCCCAACUUCGGUUAUAAGAUCCCUCAAAGAUGAUGAGGUUAAUAGGUUCGAGGUGGAAGCAUGGUGACAUGUGGAGCUGACGAAUACUAAUCGAUCGAAGACUUAAUCAA
This 2103-nucleotide ribosomal RNA is filed under the name Staphylococcus aureus. Its description in RNAcentral is "partial 23S ribosomal RNA". It matches the Rfam family "Bacterial large subunit ribosomal RNA", at positions 819 to 2925 of the family's 2925-position model. Lineage: Bacteria; Bacillati; Bacillota; Bacilli; Caryophanales; Staphylococcaceae. The record is from RNAcentral.